UCCCUGGCAGUCCAGUGGUUAGGACUCCAAACUCUCACUGCUGAUGCUGAGGGCCCAGGUUCAACCCCUGGUUAGGGAA
Molecule: transfer RNA, 79 nt
Organism: Ovis aries (sheep)
Lineage: Eukaryota; Metazoa; Chordata; Mammalia; Artiodactyla; Bovidae
Rfam family: tRNA
About the family: Transfer RNA (tRNA) molecules are approximately 80 nucleotides in length. Their secondary structure includes four short double-helical elements and three loops (D, anti-codon, and T loops).
Source: Rfam